This 253-nucleotide ribosomal RNA is filed under the name uncultured bacterium. Its description in RNAcentral is "partial 16S ribosomal RNA". It matches the Rfam family "Bacterial small subunit ribosomal RNA", at positions 524 to 776 of the family's 1533-position model. The record is from RNAcentral.
UACAGAGGUCUCAAGCGUUGUUCGGAUUUAUUGGGCGUAAAGGGUGCGCAGGCGGUGUGGUAAGUUUGGUGUGAAAUCCUGGGGCUCAACCCCAGAAUUGCACUGAAUACUGCCAUGCUAGAGGACUGGAGAGGAGAUUGGAAUUCACGGUGUAGCAGUGAAAUGCGUAGAUAUCGUGAGGAAGACCAGUGGCGAAGGCGAAUCUCUGGACAGUUCCUGACGCUCAUGCACGAAGGCCAGGGGAGCAAACGGG